GACGAACGCUGGCGGCGUGCCUAAUACAUGCAAGUAGGACGCAGUUGCGAACGGGUGAGUAACGCGUAGGUAACUACCUAUUAGAGGGGGAUAACUAUUGGGAACGAUAGCUAAUACCGCAUACUAGUAGAUGGACGUGCGUGGUAUUAGGUAGUAGGUCGGGUAAUGGCCUACCUAGGCAACGAUACAUAGCCGAGCCGGGAGGGUGAUCGGCCACAAUGGGACUGCGACAAGGCCCAGGAUUCUACCGGAAGCAGCAGUAGGGAAUCUUCGGCAAUGGGGCGAACGCUGGCCGAGCAACGGCGGCUUGGUUAAGAAAGUUUUCGGAUCGUAAAGCUCUGUUGUUAAGGGAGCGGUACUUAACCAGAAAGGGACGGCUAACUACGUGCCAGCAGCCGCGGUAAUAC
This 407-nucleotide ribosomal RNA is filed under the name uncultured bacterium. Its description in RNAcentral is "partial 16S ribosomal RNA". It matches the Rfam family "Bacterial small subunit ribosomal RNA", at positions 28 to 526 of the family's 1533-position model. The record is from RNAcentral.